RNAcentral lists this long non-coding RNA (1008 nucleotides) under Piliocolobus tephrosceles (Ugandan red Colobus). RNAcentral's name for it is "lncRNA (ENSPTEG00000016673.1)". Lineage: Eukaryota; Metazoa; Chordata; Mammalia; Primates; Cercopithecidae. The record is from RNAcentral.
GUUCUGAAGCUCCAAGCGCACACAGCGCUCUUUCCUCUCAAGUGUCUCCAUGAGGACUAUCCUAAGUUAUCAAACGUCUUCAAUCCCCUGUCUUUUAGCAGUUGCUUUGCUCCUGCUAAGUUUUUAGAGCGGCACUCGAAAGAGGUUCGGAAAUCAUCCCCCUUGCUCAUCCAUCCAACGCGCUCCAAUCAGCCUCCCUUGCGGACCUACCCUCCUCUCCCAGGGCCUCCAUCCCGGUUCGGGAGUCCCUCUUCCCGCCUCAAACUUCCCGCAGACCCGCCCCGCGCCCUCCCAGGCUCGCCCGAGCCGCCGCCCCCUCCCCCUCCCGCCGCUCCCCACGUGCUGGGAGCCCAGGUCGCGGCGGGACCCACGCACCGGCUAAGAGCCAGCCAUUCGCCGGUCUCCUCUCGCGGCCCGGUCGGCACCAAGCUGAAGAGGCCGAGGCAGGGCCGCCAGACCGGCGCUUGGCGGGGCGGAGGGAGCCGACUCCAGUCGACGGCCUCCCCCGCGCCCAGGCCCGGGAUCUCCGCCGCCGAGGUCCUAGAGCUCCGGCGUCUCCGGGUAAGGAAGAGUCCGUGCGGGGGAGGGGGAGAGGGGACAGACGCGGAGGGGAAGGGGAAGGGGAAGGGGAAGCCCUGGUCCGCAGCACCAACGCGCGAUCCCCUGCGGAGUGGAGCUAACAAUUCAUUAUUGAAGCACCAACGGCGAGGGCAGCAAGAACUAGAAGUAACGAGUCGUCGCCGCCGCCGCCGCCGCGCGCGCUCCCGCUCCCGCCGCUUAUCUGCCCCCGGCAGCCGCCAUGACGCCGAGAGAGCGAGCGAGCGCAACCGUCUCCGUCGUAGCCGCCGCCGCCACCGAGGUCGCCGUCGCCUCCGCCUCCCGCGCGACGUAAGCGCCUUUGCUCACUCCCCUUCCCGACAGAGCGCGAGGCGGGCAGGGGAGCGGGCGAGUGCGCGCACGCCGAACCCUUUCGGCUCGCGCGCGGGCGGCGGGAGGGACUACGUUUAA